UUGUCCUUUUUAGCUCACCUGGCCCGAAGGGCCAAGUGAGCUUUUCUCAUCACUUGGCGUCCGUCGUCCGUCGUCGUCCGGCGUCGUCCGUCGUCGGCGUUAACUUUUUACAUUUUGAACUUCUUCUAGAGAACCACUGAAUGGAAUGAAACCAAACAUGGCAUGAAUGUUCCUUAUGAGGUGCUGACCAAGUGUUGUUACUUUGUAGCCGAUCCAUCAUCCAAGAUGGCCGCCAGCGGGGGACUUAGUUUAACAUAGGACCCUAUGGGAAAUGCAUACAAAUGACUUCUUUUAGAGAACCACUGAAUGGAAUGAAACCAAACAUGGCAUGAAUGUUCCUUAUGAGGUGCUGACCAAGUGUUGUUACUUUGUAGCCGAUCCAUCAUCCAAGAUGGCCGCCAGCGGGGGACUUAGUUUAACAUAGGACCCUAUGGGAAAUACAUAAAAAUGUCUUCUUUUAGAGAACCACUGAAUGGAAUGGAACCAAACAUGGCAUGAAUGUUCCUUAUGAGAUGCUGACCAAGUGUUGUUACUUUGCAGUCGGUCCAUCAUCCAAGAUGGCCGCCAGCGGGGGACUUAGUUUAACAUAGGACCCUAUGGGAAAUACAUACAAAUGUCUUCUUUUAGAGAACCACUGAAUGGAAUGAAACCAAACAUGGCAUGAAUGUUCCUUAUGAGGUGCUCACCAAGUGUUGUUACUUUGUAGCCGAUCCAUCAUCCAAGAUGGCCGCCAGCGGGGGACUUAGCUUAACAUAGGACCCUAUGGGAAAUGCAUACAAAUGACUUCUUUUAGAGAACCACUGAAUGGAAUGAAACCAAACAUGGCAUGAAUGUUCCUUAUGAGGUGCUGACCAAGUGUUGUUACUUUGUAGCCGAUCCAUCAUCCAAGAUGGCCGCCAGCGAGGGACUUAGUUUAACAUAGGACCCUAUGGGAAAUACAUACAAAUGUCUUCUUUUAGAGAACCACUGAAUGGAAUGGAACCAAACAUGGCAUGAAUGUUUCUUAUGAGAUGCUGACCAAGUGUUGUUACUUUGCAGUCGGUCCAUCAUCCAAGAUGGCCGCCAGCGGGGGACUUAGUUUAACAUAGGACCCUAUGGGAAAUACAUACAAAUGUCUUCUUUUAGAGAACCACUGAAUGGAAUGAAACCAAACAUGGCAUGAAUGUUCCUUAUGAGGUGCUCACCAAGUGUUGUUACUUUGUAGCCGAUCCAUCAUCCAAGAUGGCCGCCAGCCGGGGACUUAGUUUAACAUAGGACCCUAUGGGAAAUGCAUACAAAUGACUUCUUUUAGAGAACCACUGAAUGGAAUGAAACCAAACAUGGCAUGAAUGUUCCUUAUGAGGUGCUCACCAAGUGUUGUUACUUUGUAGCCGAUCCAUCAUCCAAGAUGGCCGCCAGCCGGGGACUUAGUUUAACAUAGGACCCUAUGGGAAAUGCAUACAAAUGACUUCUUUUAGAGAACCACUGAAUGGAAUGAAACCAAACAUGGCAUGAAUGUUCCUUAUGAGGUGCUGACCAAGUGUUGUUACUUUGUAGCCGAUCCAUCAUCCAAGAUGGCCGCCAGCGGGGGACUUAGUUUAACAUAGGACCCUAUGGGAAAUACAUACAAAUGUCUUCUUUUAGAGAACCACUGAAUGGAAUGGAACCAAACAUGGCAUGAAUGUUUCUUAUGAGAUGCUGACCAAGUGUUGUUACUUUGCAGUCGGUCCAUCAUCCAAGAUGGCCGCCAGCGGGGGACUUAGUUUAACAUAGGACCCUAUGGGAAAUACAUACAAAUGUCUUCUUUUAGAGAACCACUGAAUGGAAUGAAACCAAACAUGGCAUGAAUGUUCCUUAUGAGGUGCUCACCAAGUGUUGUUACUUUGUAGCCGAUCCAUCAUCCAAGAUGGCCGCCAGCCGGGGACUUAGUUUAACAUAGGACCCUAUGGGAAAUGCAUACAAAUGACUUCUUUUAGAGAACCACUGAAUGGAAUGAAACCAAACAUGGCAUGAAUGUUCCUUAUGAGGUGCUGACCAAGUGUUGUUACUUUGUAGCCGAUCCAUCAUCCAAGAUGGCCGCCAGCGGGGGACUUAGUUUAACAUAGGACCCUAUGGGAAAUGCAUACAAAUGACUUCUUUUAGAGAACCACUGAAUGGAAUGAAACCAAACAUGGCAUGAAUGUUCCUUAUGAGGUGCUGACCAAGUGUUGUUACUUUGUAGCCGAUCCAUCAUCCAAAAUGGCCGCCAGCGGGGGACUUAGUUUAACAUAGGACCCUAUGGGAAAUACAUAAAAAUGUCUUCUUUUAGAGAACAACUGAAUGGAAUGGAACCAAACAUGGCAUGAAUGUUCCUUAUGAGAUGCUGACCAAGUGUUGUUACUUUGCAGGCGGUCCAUCAUCCAAGAUGGCCGCCAGCCGGGGACUUAGUUUAACAUAGGACCCUAUGGGAAAUGCAUACAAAUGACUUCUUUUAGAGAACCACUGAAUGGAAUGGAACCAAACAUGGCAUGAAUGUUCCUUAUGAGAUGCUGACCAAGUGUUGUUACUUUGCAGUCGGUCCAUCAUCCAAGAUGGCCGCCAGCGGGGGACUUAGUUUAACAUAGGACCCUAUGGGAAAUACAUACAAAUGUCUUCUUUUAGAGAACCACUGAAUGGAAUGAAACCAAACAUGGCAUGAAUGUUCCUUAUGAGGUGCUCACCAAGUGUUGUUACUUUGUAGCCGAUCCAUCAUCCAAGAUGGCCGCCAGCCGGGGACUUAGUUUAACAUAGGACCCUAUGGGAAAUGCAUACAAAUGACUUCUUUUAGAGAACCACUGAAUGGAAUGAAACCAAACAUGGCAUGAAUGUUCCUUAUGAGGUGCUGACCAAGUGUUGUUACUUUGUAGCCGAUCCAUCAUCCAAGAUGGCCGCCAGCGGGGGACUUAGUUUAACAUAGGACCCUAUGGGAAAUACAUAAAAAUGUCUUCUUUUAGAGAACCACUGAAUGGAAUGGAACCAAACAUGGCAUGAAUGUUCCUUAUGAGAUGCUGACCAAGUGUUGUUACUUUGCAGUCGGUCCAUCAUCCAAGAUGGCCGCCAGCGGGGGACUUAGUUUAACAUAGGACCCUACGGGAAAUACAUACAAAUGUCUUCUUUUAGAGAACCACUGAAUGGAAUGAAACCAAACAUGGCAUGAAUGUUCCUUAUGAGGUGCUGACCAAGUGUUGUUACUUUGUAGCCGAUCCAUCAUCCAAGAUGGCCGCCAGCAGGGGACUUAGUUUAACAUAGGACCCUAUGGGAAAUGCAUACAAAUGACUUCUUUUAGAGAACCACUGAAUGGAAUUAAACCAAACAUGGCAUGAAUGUUCCUUAUGAGGUGCUGACCAAGUGUUGUUACUUUGUAGCCGAUCCAUCAUCCAAAAUGGCCGCCAGCGGGGGACUUAGUUUAACAUAGGACCCUAUGGGAAAUACAUAAAAAUGUCUUCUUUUAGAGAACCACUGAAUGGAAUGGAACCAAACAUGGCAUGAAUGUUCCUUAUGAGAUGCUGACCAAGUGUUGUUACUUUGCAGGCGGUCCAUCAUCCAAGAUGGCCGCCAGCGGGGGACUUAGUUUAACAUAGGACCCUAUGGGAAAUACAUACAAAUGUCUUCUUUUAGAGAACCACUGAAUGGAAUGAAACCAAACAUGGCAUGAAUGUUCCUUAUGAGGUUCUGACCAAGUGUUGUUACUUUGUAGCCGAUCCAUCAUCCAAGAUGGCCGCCAGCGGGGGACUUAGUUUAACAUAGGACCCUAUGGGAAAUACAUACAAAUGUCUUCUUUUAGAGAACCACUAAAUGGAAUGAAACCAAACAUGGCAUGAAUGUUCCUUAUGAGGUGCUGACCAAGUGUUGUUACUUUGCAGUCGGUCCAUCAUCCAAGAUGGCCGACAGCAGGGGACUUAGUUUAACAAAGGACCUAUGGGAAAUACAUACAAAUGUCUUCUUUUAGAGAACCACUGAAUGGAAUGAAACCAAACAUGGCAUGAAUCUUCCUUAUGAGAUGCUGACCAAGUGUUGUUACUUUGUAGCCGAUCCAUCAUCCAAGAUGGCCGCCAGCGGGGGGCUUAGUUUAACAUAGGACCCUAUGGGAAAUACAUACAAAUGUCUUCUUUUAGAGUACCACUGAAUGGAAUGAAACCAAACAUGGCAUGAAUGUUCCUUAUGAAGUGCUGACCAAGUGUUGCUACUUUGUUGCUGAUUUACUGUUCAAGAUGGCCACCAGGAUAUUUUAUUAAAUAACGGGACCAAUAUUAAUCAAAAUUUGGCCUCAAUCAUUAUUUGGGUAUCUGUUAUGAUUUUUAUCUAUCUUUACAUGAUUUCUAAAACCAAAGUAGAGUCAGGUGAGCGACACAGGCUCUCGAGAGCCUCUAGUUUU
This is a long non-coding RNA of Mytilus californianus (California mussel), 4372 nucleotides long. RefSeq lists it as uncharacterized. The record is from RefSeq and is a predicted model, not a curated record. The transcript has 3 exons. NCBI's taxonomy places the organism in Eukaryota, Metazoa, Mollusca, Bivalvia, Mytilida, Mytilidae.